Molecule: ribosomal RNA, 386 nt
Filed under: uncultured bacterium
Lineage: Bacteria
Description: bacterial SSU rRNA
Rfam family: Bacterial small subunit ribosomal RNA
Source: RNAcentral
GGGACGUGUCCCGUUUUGUAUGUACCUUAUGAAUAAGGAUCGGCUAACUCCGUGCCAGCAGCCGCGGUAAUACGGAGGAUCCGAGCGUUAUCCGGAUUUAUUGGGUUUAAAGGGUGCGUAGGCGGCCUUUUAAGUCAGCGGUGAAAGUCUGUGGCUCAACCAUAGAAUUGCCGUUGAAACUGGGAGGCUUGAGUAUGUUUGAGGCAGGCGGAAUGCGUGGUGUAGCGGUGAAAUGCUUAGAUAUCACGCAGAACCCCGAUUGCGAAGGCAGCCUGCCAAGCCAUGACUGACGCUGAUGCACGAAAGCGUGGGGAUCAAACAGGAUUAGAUACCCUGGUAGUCCACGCAGUAAACGAUGAUCACUAGCUGUUUGCGAUACACAGUAA